This 201-nucleotide ribosomal RNA is filed under the name uncultured bacterium. RNAcentral describes it as "partial 16S ribosomal RNA". It matches the Rfam family "Bacterial small subunit ribosomal RNA", at positions 1300 to 1500 of the family's 1533-position model. The record is from RNAcentral.
GCAGGCUGCAACUCGCCUGCAUGAAGUUGGAAUUGCUAGUAAUCGCGGAUCAGCAUGCCGCGGUGAAUACGUUCCCGGGCCUUGUACACACCGCCCGUCACACCAUGGGAGCCGGUAAUACCCGAAGUCAGUAGCCUAACCGCAAGGGGGGCGCUGCCGAAGGUAGGAUUGGCGACUGGGGUGAAGUCGUAACAAGGUAGC